UCCAAAUAAAAAAAGCAAUAAAAUUGUAUUAAAAAUAAAAAAAAAUGAAAGAAAGAAAAGAAACCUGCCAGAUAAUCAAACCUAUUGACAGAGAAAUCCAAACAGUCACUGUCUGGAAAUGGUAUUCAGUGUAAUACUAAUGGAAAGACUGAGAUGUUGAAGUCUCAACUAUAUCCCUUCCAGAUAUCAGUGUCAGACACAAAUUGCUCUACAGGUAUACAAAGCAUGGAGGCAUUUACACUGAGUUGAGGACACAAUACAUGUCUUUUCUUUGUUUCUUUGGACAUUUUUCUUCAGGGCAAAAAGAGUAAAAGCCAUGAGCUCUGAGGAGAACAACUGUGCCCUUCCCAACAACUAGCUUUUGGAAUGAAGAAAUUGAUUAUAUAAAAACUCUGAUUUACAGGAACCAUAAGAAAAGAGAAGUCCAGAUGCUUCUGAGAGGGUCCCAGCUCCUGAUUUGCAUAUGUGGAUGGCUCAGAUCAAGGCUAUCUGUUCAGCAAUGCCAGUCAUCCCCUACCAAGGAGUCACUGAGUUUUCCCAAGCACACAUAUUACUUCCCUUUUUUAGACAAAGGCAGAAUGGCAGUUUCCUUCUACCCAUUUCUGAUCUUUUCAUCCUCUUUGUUCUUACUCCAAAAUGGAUGUUUAUUCUGAAUUAGAUGCCUAUUACUGAACCCUAGAGGUACUGAAGGAAUACCUGAGAUGCAGAUGAAGUCAUGACAACAAUUGUGACAUCACAGAAGAAAAAUCUCUCCAGGUUACAAGAGAUUUUUCAGGCAAGGCCUAAUGAUGAUAUCACUGAGAACUGCCAUGGCCUACGUGCUGAACAGCUUUCCUUACAUUGACCAUAUUUGAGGGUGUCCUUUCCUGGAACCACUAGAAGCAGGGAAGUCCAGAUGCUUCUGACAUGCUCCAAGCUCCGAGCUCCUGAUCCCAUGUGUGGAAGGCUCAGAUCAAUUCUAUCUCUUCAAGACAGGAGGGUAGCAUUAUUGUCCUCUGCAAGACUCAACGGAGCAGCCGACUGACACAGGUGCACAGACAUACGGCCAAAUAUCGAAUGGAGCUCAGUGAGUCUCACUGAAGGGCUGAGGGAAGGGCAGACAGAGAAAGAGGAGCACAAUGAUCUUCAGGUGGGGUCACUAAACCAGUCGCUUGUCUGUGGAUCCUGUUCUCCUACCCGGGCUGCGUUUUCAGGACCUGGUGGGAGACGAUGAAUCUAGUUGAGUAGAGACUUGAUGUGCCAGGGGAGAGGGUGACCCAGAGGGGUCCUCCACUCUCUCAGAUAAGAAGGGGAGAGGAUAGAAGGAGGGAGUAUAAAUGGUAGGAGCCUGGAGGAGUGUGGUUCCAGGGCAGCAUUCAGAAUGCUACCUGGUGAAUAGAUGCAACCAUUCUAGCAAGGGACUCAGGCAUGACAUCACUGGGAAGGGGGCGGGACAUCAUGGGUGUGGGACAUGACAUCAUGGUGGUGGGGCAUGACAUCACGAUUAUCCAUCAGAAGUAAUUAUCUGGCUAAACAUUCAUCACGAGUGUCAGCUCCACAGGCUCACUGAAGAUCCUAAACCAUAGUUGUUAGUGAAGUUAUAUAUUGAAAAACACAGUCAAUAUCUUAUCUUGUGUCCUUUCACCUGUACCAAAUCGUUUGAUCUCUUUGUUUGACUCUUGAUAACUGUUUUGGAACCUCUUGGAAUGUGUUCUGAGUAGGAUUAAGUCUGUUUACCCUCUCAGAACAAUUAAAUGGUGACACCUGGGAGACUGGCAGAGUUGUCACUGGAAUUUUGACUAAUAGAAAGAGACUUAUAGCAGUCCCACUAUAAAAGAGCUUAAUAACCAUUGAUAUAAUUUUAAGAAUUAUUGUAGGAUCGUUAUUAAGACUAAAGAAUUCAUCUACUUGUCUGUAUACUAACACUACGGGACAGUACAACUUCAUAGGCCUGCAGAGAUGUGCUCCAAAGGUGCUAUAACUCAAUUAUUGUUAUAUAUGUCUAAUAAUAACAACAGGAAUAGCAUUUUAAUAGCAGGAAACUUUCCCAAAAUGAAUCCAUUACAGCCUUGCUUAAUAAGGGUGUACCAGUUGUGGAUUAUAAAGUAAUCCGAUGCUGUUCAUCUGAGGAUGAUCACCUGCCAGUUAUUAGCUUGUCCAGUCAUGGCUCCUGACACUUUCUUCUCAGUCCCACAUAGUACCUUCUCCAAAACUGACAAUAUGAUCCAUCACAAAACAGGCCUCAACAAAUACAAGAAGACUGAAUUAAUCCCUUGCAUCCUAUGAGAUCACUAAACACUAAGAAUGGUCUUCAAUAACAACAAGAACAACCAAAAACCCACAUAUACAUGGUAGCUCAGGAAUGAUUUACUCGAGGAGAACUUGUUCAAGGAAGAAAUAAAGAAAAAAUUAAAGACACUUUUGAAUUUAAUGAAAAUGAAGGCAUAACUUGGGAACACAAAAAAGAAAUUCUAAGAGGAAAACUCAUAGCUCUGAGAGCCUCCACAAAGAAACAAUUGCUAUGAUCCACUAGUAGUUUGACAGAACACCUGAAAUCUCAGAACCAAUACAAAUCCAAAUACACCAAGAGGACUAUACAGCAGGAAAUAAUCAAACUCCAGACUGAAAUCAACCAAGUAGAAACAAAAGGAAUUAUAUAAAGAAUCAACAAAACCAGGAGCUGGUUCUUUGAAAAAUCCAGAAAUAGGUAAAUCCUUAGUAUUCAAAUUAAAAAUAACAAAAUCAGAAUUGAAAUAGAGAUAUAACCAUUGAAAAUGAGAAAACUCGAAAAAUUAUCAGAUCCUACUAUAAAAGCCUAUGCUUAAAAAAACGGGAAAGUAAGGAAUAAAUGGAUAAUUUUCUAUUCAGAUACAAGUUACCAAAGUUGAAUCAGGAUCAGAUAAACCAUCUAAAUACUCCCAUAACUCAUAAAGUAGUAGAAGCAGUCAUUAAAUAUCUCCCAACCAAAGAUCCCAGGACUGGAAAGGUUUAGUACAGAAUUCUCUCAGACCUUCACAGAAUACCUAAUACCAAUAUUCUCCAAACUAUUCAACAAACUAGAAAUAGAAGAAACACUACACAAUUCUUUCUCUGAUGCCAUAGUUAUGCUUAUAACUAAAGCAAACAAAGACCCAUCAAAAAAAGAGAAUUUCAGACCAAUUUAUUCAUGAAUAUCCCUGCAAAUAUUCUCAGUAAAUUUCUUUCAAACCAAAUCCAAGAACACAUCAAAACAAUCAUCCAUCAUGAUCAAGUAGGCUUCAUCCUGGAGAUACUGGGAUUGUUUAAUAUACAGAACCUGAUCACUAAUCAAACUAAUCCCACUAUAAAAACAAAUUCAAAGAAAAGAAAACAAUUAAUUAUCUCAUUAGAUGCUGAGAAAGCAUUUUACAGUUAAAAGUCUUGGAAAUAUCUUAAAUUCAAGGACCAUACUGAAGCACAGUAAAAGCAAUAUACAGCAAACCAGUAGCCAGCAUCAAACUAAAUGGAGAGAAAUUUAAUGCAAUCCCACUAAAAUCAGGAACUAGACAAGGACACCCACUCUUUCCCUACCUUUUCAAUAUAGUAUUCGAAGUCCUAGCCAGAGUAAUUAGACAACAAAUGUAGGUAAACAGACUAAUAUUCCAAAUGAAGUAUUCAAAAUGUCACUAUGUGCAGAUGAUGUGGUAGUAUAUUUAAUUGGCCCCAAAAUUUCCACCAGUGAAUUUAUAAGCCUAAUAAACAACUUUAGCAAAGUGGCAGGGUAAAAAAUUGAUUCAAACAAAUCAGUACUCUACUCAAAAGAGAAAUAGACUGAGAAAGAAAUUACAGAAAUGACACACUUGACAACAGUCAAAAAGCAUAUGAAAUACUUCAGUGUGACUCUAACCAAGCAAGUGAAAGAUAUAUAUGACAAGAACAUAUGUCUCUGAAGAAUUAAAUUGAAGGUCUCAGAAAUUAGAAAGAUCUCCCAUGCUUGUGUAUUGACAGGACAAAUGUUGUGAAAAUGUCCAUUUUGCCAAAAGCAAUUUACAGAUUCAAUUCAAUCCCCAUCAAUAUUACAAGUGAAUUCUUCACAGACAUAAAAAUGACAGUUUGCCAAUUUAUUUGGAAUAAAAUAAAUCCCAGGAUAGAGAAAACUAUUCUCAAAAAUAAAAGCAUUUUGGGGAAAUCACCAUCCCUGAGCUCAUGUUGUGUUACAGAGCAAUGGUGAUGAAAAACUGUAAUGUAUUGGUAUUGAGACAGGCAGGUAAAUAAAUGGAAUAGAAUUGAAGAUGCAGAAAUGAACCCACACAGCUAUGGCCACUUGGAAAUUGAUAAAAGAUCUAAAACCAUUCAGUGGAAAAAACGAUAGCAUUUUUUAAAAAAUUGUGCUGUUUCACCUGAAGGGCAGAAUGUAGAAGAAUGCAAAUUAAUCCAUUCUUAUCUCCUUGUACAAAGUUUAAGUAAAUGUGGAUUAAAGUCCUCCACAUAAAGAUCACCAGUGGAACAGGAAGCACUUGGUCCUGGUAAGACUGAAACCCCAGUGAAUGUGAUUGUUGGGGGAGGGUGUC
Molecule: non-coding RNA, 4508 nt
Organism: Rattus norvegicus (Norway rat)
Lineage: Eukaryota; Metazoa; Chordata; Mammalia; Rodentia; Muridae
Source: RefSeq, a predicted model, not a curated record